RNAcentral lists this ribosomal RNA (216 nucleotides) under Pantoea ananatis. RNAcentral's name for it is "partial 16S ribosomal RNA". It matches the Rfam family "Bacterial small subunit ribosomal RNA", at positions 1 to 215 of the family's 1533-position model. The record is from RNAcentral. Lineage: Bacteria; Pseudomonadati; Pseudomonadota; Gammaproteobacteria; Enterobacterales; Erwiniaceae.
UUAAAUUGAAGAGUUUGAUCAUGGCUCAGAUUGAACGCUGGCGGCAGGCCUAACACAUGCAAGUCGGACGGUAGCACAGAGAGCUUGCUCUCGGGUGACGAGUGGCGGACGGGUGAGUAAUGUCUGGGGAUCUGCCCGAUAGAGGGGGAUAACCACUGGAAACGGUGGCUAAUACCGCAUAACGUCGCAAGACCAAAGAGGGGGACCUUCGGGCCU